This 252-nucleotide ribosomal RNA is filed under the name uncultured bacterium. RNAcentral describes it as "partial 16S ribosomal RNA". It matches the Rfam family "Bacterial small subunit ribosomal RNA", at positions 524 to 776 of the family's 1533-position model. The record is from RNAcentral.
UACGUAGGGGGCGAGCGUUAUCCGGAUUUAUUGGGCGUAAAGCGUGCGUAGGCGGCUUGUUAAGUCCAGAAUUAAAGCCCGAGGCUUAACCUCGGUUCGUUCUGGAUACUGGCAAGCUUGAGUAUGGUAGAGGCAAAUGGAAUUCCUAGUGUAGCGGUGAAAUGCGUAGAUAUUAGGAGGAACACCAGUGGCGAAGGCGAUUUGCUGGGCCAUCACUGACGCUGAGGUACGAAAGCGUGGGUAGCAAAUAGG